CGAUGUGAUAAUUUCUACGUCGUUGACCAUCUCGGGGCUGACCUAGUCAGUUUCAAUAGGAGUCUGCUUCUAACCGUCUCUUGACUGAGACUAGCGACUUGUGCGCUAACUUUUGACUUGACCUCAAAUCAGGUAGGACUACCCGCUGAACUUAAGCAUAUCAAUAAGCGGAGGAAAAGAAACUAACAAGGAUUCCCCUAGUAACUGCGAGUGAAGCGGGAAAAGCUCAAAUUUAAAAUCUGGCGGUCUCCGGCCGUCCGAGUUGUAAUUUAGAGAAGCGUUAUCCGUGCUGGACCGUGUAUAAGUCUCCUGGAAUGGAGCGUCAUAGAGGGUGAGAAUCCCGUCUUUGACACGGACUACCAGUGCAUUGUGAUGCGCUCUCGACGAGUCGAGUUGUUUGGGAAUGCAGCUCAAAAUGGGUGGUAAAUGCCAUCUAAAGCUAAAUAUUGGCGAGAGACCGAUAGCGAACAAGUACCGUGAGGGAAAGAUGAAAAGAACUUUGGAAAGAGAGUUAAACAGUACGUGAAAUUGUCGAAAGGGAAACGGUUGCAGUCAGUCGCGUCCGCCGGGGAUCAACCUUGCUUUUGCUUGGCGUAUUUCCCGGUGGAUGGGUCAGCAUCAGUUUUGACCGCAGUUGAAAGGCUGGAGGAAUGUGGCACCUUCGGGUGUGUUAUAGCCUCCUGUCAUAUGCUGCGGUUGGGACUGAGGAACUCAGCACGCCGAAAGGCCGGGAUUCGUCCACGUUCGUGCUUAGGAUGCUGGCAUAAUGUCUGUAACCGACCCGUCUUGAAACACGGACCAAGGAGUCUAACAUGCACGCGAGUGUUUGGGUGGCAAA
RNAcentral lists this ribosomal RNA (838 nucleotides) under Schizophyllum radiatum. RNAcentral describes it as "eukaryotic LSU rRNA". The stretch from base 119 to 838 matches the Rfam family "Eukaryotic large subunit ribosomal RNA", at positions 1 to 706 of the family's 3401-position model. The record is from RNAcentral. Lineage: Eukaryota; Fungi; Basidiomycota; Agaricomycetes; Agaricales; Schizophyllaceae.